GAGUGAACGCUGGCGGUAGGCCUACCACAUGCAAGUCGAACGGCAGCACAGUAAGAGCUUGCUCUUACGGGUGGCGAGUGGCGGGCGGGUGAGGAAUACAUCGGAAUCUACUUUUUCGUGGGGGAUAACGUAGGGAAACUUACGCUAAUACCGCAUACGACCUACGGGUGAAAGCAGGGGAUCUUCGGACCUUGCGCGAUUGAAUGAGCCGAUGUCGGAUUAGCUAGUUGGCGGGGUAAAGGCCCACCAAGGCGACGAUCCGUAGCUGGUCUGAGAGGAUGAUCAGCCACACUGGAACUGAGACACGGUCCAGACUCCUACGGGAGGCAGCAGUGGGGAAUAUUGGACAAUGGGCGCAAGCCUGAUCCAGCCAUACCGCGUGGGUGAAGAAGGCCUUCGGGUUGUAAAGCCCUUUUGUUGGGAAAGAAAAGCAGCAGGUUAAUACCCCGCUGUUCUGACGGUACCCAAAGAAUAAGCACCGGCUAACUUCGUG
Molecule: ribosomal RNA, 493 nt
Filed under: uncultured bacterium
Lineage: Bacteria
Description: partial 16S ribosomal RNA
Rfam family: Bacterial small subunit ribosomal RNA
Source: RNAcentral